UGCAACAAAUCCUUUACCUUCUCAAUUAUAAUUAUGCUUAGAAGAAGUGAUUUAGCAAUAAACCUGCGAGUGUGAUAUCAACAACUAAUCUAUUAUGAGAUGAGGAAACAGCUUAAGGCAGCAAACCCUAGUUCAUCAGAAGGCACUCAUUACUCAUUACUCAGAAGGCUCCCACGUUUUGUUCUUUUAGGAUGAAGAAAGCAUUGCCUCUUUGGAAACCUCAAAGCCAAGGCUUAACACCUAAUUUGAAUCUUGCACAUUCACACGAGCAAUCUCGCCUCUAGGUUGUCAGUGAGAACUGUUACGGUCAUGAACUGCGUAUGCAUUUCAUUGGAGAGCUGUUACAGUCUUGAACGGCGUAUGCAUUUCAUUGGAUUAAAUGGAGCAUCCCUUCGGGUGGGAUUAAAAUGGGUGUCUGCUCAAGGAAGCUGGUGACCUUAAAUCCCAACCUUCAACAUUCUUGGGAAUGCAGACGUCGAAAAGGAUUUGACCAUGAACUCCAUCCGGAUUGAUAGUUGGAGGGGUUCGCAAAUGAACCAAAUUCUCCUUGUGCUCAUCUUGCAAGGACCCAACAUAGAAAUUUUAUGAGUGAUUUAGCGUCGUGUUUGGGUGCUAAAUUGAAACGAAGAUAAUAGGGACAAGAGAGACACGUUUCUCUAUAUCUUUUAUUUUGAAAACAUAGAAAUUCAUUCCAAAGCAAUCAUAGAAACAUUUAUUUUAUGUCCAUGACUGUCUCUUGAACCAAACACGUUUCUAUCUUUUGUUUGUCCUUUCUAUCUUGGGACACUUAACCAAAUUUCUAAUUGCAAAUUCUCUACUCUAAGCCUUCAGUACUAUUAUAAGAGAAAUAUAUAAAUCCUCAUCAAGAUUUCGUCUAAACAAGUGGCCAAUUAUUUGGCAUCCAUUGUCACAUGCUUGAUGAACAAAAAUAAAGUGGAGCAACUAUAAAGAAAUCAAAUUUUCACAUGCAUUUCAAGACAGUUACCUAAAUUAAUUUUGGCUGCAUCCGAUACCACAUUAAGAAAACUCAAAGACUAUUGCCCUGUUCCGAGCCAUUCACCCUUAUGAUAUAUACCUGGCAAAAAGAUAGGAACUGUGUAUCAGUAUCAAUGGAACUCAAGUUGCAAGGUAAAAAUGAAAAAUGAGAAUAAGCAAACUGAUUUGCCAUGUUUCAAGUACAGUCAAUAACAUUGAUGCAUGUUAACAACCACCUUGCAUGCUGUAGGCUUGAUUAACUGAAAAACCACAGCAUCUCCAUCUAGCAGUCCAUGAGCAACGGCAAACCCUUUCCAUCCACCACUUAGUCCAUUCUUUCGUGCUAAAUAUAUAACUUGAUACUCAUCUGCCUCUUCAUCUAUCAAAGUGAUGACAUCGUCUCGCCUUGGAAGGUUCCUUCUGCAGAAGUCGACUGGAAGACCCUGCACCAAAAUUUCCCUCAUGAUCUAUAUCAUUGCAAUCCACAAUUAAAUAAACCUAUAUGAUGUUUUGCACGCCAAAAUGCAGUGGAAUUAGAGCGAAUUACAGUACAUCUGAAGCCAGGGCAUACACAGAAUGCAAAUUGUUUUAAACCUAACAGAUAAUUAGAUACAUAUUAGUGGCUAAAAAAAUUAACAAAAAACAAGUGGGAAAAGAAAGACAUGUGUGUGCACACGCACAGAAUGAAUUAGUCCAUCCAUGGACGUGGCUUGCAAGCUUGAGAAGCUCCUUAGAUUGUCUGUCUACAGUUAUCUUACAGAAAAUGAUGUGGCUCAUGUAAAUAGUUUUAAUGUUACUUUCCCUUGAGUGAACAUGACAAAUUGUAGGAUUAAAAAACAGUGCGAAUCUAAAAAAUUGACAACACAGUCCAUCCAUAUAGAAAGGAAAAGAGAUUGAAACAUAGGGUGGGAGAUGAUAGAUUUAUCUCACCAGCCAAAAUCCACCAGUAACAUGGGAUUGAAGCAUUGAUUUUAUAAAGAUCGGAUAGUCAGAUCCUAAAUCAGAUUGUAGCUUUUCUGCUUUCUCCAUAGCCUUUGCCCUGGCUUCAUCAGUAGCAUACACCCGGUUUGACAAAUCUCUUGCCUUGGAAAUCCUGAGCAACACAGGAUCACACUAAAAUAUUAGCUUUAUAUGUUUCAACGCACAGAGCUAUAAUUGGUUUAAAAAAUUUGAAUCAAAAUACCUUCUUGGUAUCACCACUCGAUCAAGAACAACCUGUGAGAAAAAAAAACCCAUUAUACACAACAUCCAGCAAAAAUAAACAAAAUCCCAAAAUUUCAUAAGCCCAAAUGAAACUAACGGCUUACUUCUUUAAAGAAAGGAGCAGGCUUGUUCGCGACACGACUGGACCUCCUAACCACAACCACUUGUUUCUCGACUACUCGAGGUUUUGAGCGUUUCAUCUGUUAAUCAAACAAAAAUAGAAUGAGCAUCAUCACACGUAUAAAGGGAGAGGGAGUUAUAGAGGAGAUUAAUUAAUAACCGGAGAGGAUUUGGUAGGGGUGGAAAUUUUAAGAGCUCGAGAAAGCUUGUGGAGAUUGAGGGCUUCCAUUCUUUUCUUGUUCUCUUCCAUUCUCUUUCGGCGACUUUCUUCAUAUGCUGAUAUCUUUGCCACCAUUUUUACUGCAGAAUCAAAAGGUUUCGAUUGCUAGGAUUUUAGCCCUCCCUUCUUGAAGUCUGGGGAGCAGUGUGUGUGAGAGGGAGGGAGAGAGAAAAGGAGAAAUUUGAAAUUGGGGGACUCCUGUACUGUGUCAAUUAGGGCAAGAGAAGUCGACCGUUGAGUUCCCACCCAUUACGAGUAAUGAUAGUGUCAGUGCUGGGGAGCCUGCUAGGCUGCUAGUUCACAGGUAGAAUCCAAUUUUUAGACUUGAAAAACCGUGCUGCCACAAACUCUGGGCACCCUUGCAAGCAGUAUAGUUUUUUUUUCCCUUUUAAUCGUGUGCUAUCUAAGUUAUCAGUAUUUUGAUUAAUUUUUUAAAAUUUUAAAAUUAAUAAUUAUUUUUUGAAAUUUUAAAAUUAACAAUUAGAUAAAUUUCUGGUAAUUUUAUGGUUUAUAACACUCAAUCAAACUGAUAAUUUUUUAAAAAUCAAAUUAAAAACCUAAUUAAACUAUACCCCUCAUACUUCAGUAUAGUUUUUUUUUGCAGAGAUUUAACUAGUUUCAAGAACCGGAUUAUAGAUUAGUUAUAUAAAUCCUAUCUUGCAAUUUUGCUUCGGUAUUUAUGUGAAUAAUUACAAGCACAGAUAAGGUGCUUGCUUUGUAAAAUACAUUAGUUAUUAUAAGAAAAAACAUGAUUAGAUUGUAUUUUUAUAUUUUUAUUACACAGUAUAAUUAUAUUAUUACCAUUGACAAAAAAAAAAACAUUAAGCUUUGGUCUAUAACUUUUUAGUUUUUGACUUAAUUUUUAAAUAAUUAAUUACAUCAUUUUCCUCGGUAUGUAAAAUACUUUGCCUGUGUUCUUUUGUCUUUUAUAUUUAGUUAUUUGAUAGUUAAUACAAGAUAAUUUCAUAAAUAAAUAAAUAAAAAAUAAAAAAAAGAUCUAGAAGUGCGUGAACAAUAUCUAAUGGGUUCGGACAGUGUGUGCGGUGCUGUUUAGUGACCAAAACCUUACUUCCAAGGCGGCAACCAAAUUGUCUCAAUGUUCCCUCCACGUACGGCGGUGUGUGUGGCAUAAUUGUUUCUAGAAUGGCGCAUGUAGCCUUUUAUUUUUUUUUCCUUUCCUCUCUCUCAUACUCGAUUUUCAAGCUGGCCUUAAAAAAAUUCAAAUCAACCCCUAAGAUUUCUUGUUCUAAAGAUUUCAUUCAUAUUCUCUUUAUUGCAGUUUUUUUUAUUUAGAAUAAUUUUUAAAAUUAAAUAUUUUUUCAAUUUCAUCCCUAUUCUCUUUAUUAUAAUUUUGUUUAUUUAGAAUAAUUUAUUAAGUUAAGAAUUUUUUUAAAUUUCAUCCCCAAUAGAUAUUUUUAUAUGUUAAAUUUGGUUUACAUUCUUUUGAUUACUAUUUAUUUUAUUUUAGAUAUUUUUUUGCAUUUGUUUUUGCUUUUUCAUCAUUCUUGAGUUUUUCCUAUCAAAUCUAAUACUUUUUUUAUUAUUGUAUUUUUUUGCCUUGCAAGAUUUUUUUAGAUUGAUUUUUUUUUGUUUUAUCCUCCAACAUUUAAUUAUUCAUUUAUUUAUCUUCUUAGUCAAAUUUGAAUCUAGAAUUUAAUGAAUUGCAAGUUUAAAAGAUUAACCCCGAUUUAUAAAGUUGACACGGGUUUUCUUAUCCCCCCCUUCUUAAUAUUUUUUUUCCAUCAUCCAAAUUUUUUUUAUUUUUUUCUUCACUUUCCAUGAGGUUGUUUAGUGAUUUUGAAAAUAGUACGGGUUGCUUAUUUUUUUUUUGUCUUUGUUAAAUUUACCUUUUCUAAAUGAAUUUUGUCUUUGAAUUAAAUUAAAUUAAUUGAUUUCAUUCUCCAACAUUUAAUUUUUCAUAUGUUAAGCUUAUGGGUUGAACUUGGAUUGAGAAUUUAACGAAUUACCUUCUCUAAAUGAAUUUUAUCUUUGAAUUAAAUUAAAUUAAUUAAUUUCAUUCUCCAACAUUUAAUUUUUCAUAUGUUAAGCUUAUGGGUUGAACUUGGAUUGAUUACAAGUUUGAGAGUUUAACCCGACUUUAUAAAGUUCACUCGGGCUUGUUUGAGUUUUUUUUUUUUUUGUGAUUUCAUCCUCUUAACACUUUUUUUAUUUGCUUUUUAUGGUAUAUAUCUUUCUUUUUAAAAUAAAAAAGGUUGCCUUAAGUAUUUUUUUAGGUCUUUGUUAAAUUUAGCUUUUUAAAAUGAAUUUUUUUAAUUAAAUUAAAUUUAUUUAUUUCAUCCCCCAACAUUUAAUUUGAAGGGUGUUGAAAUUUUUAGUUUAGCUCAGGUCUGCAAUUUAAUAGGUUACAAAUUUAAAAGACUAACCCGGGUUUACAAAGUUCACUUGGACUUGCUUGGUUUUUUCUUUCUUUUUUUUUAGUUUCAUCCACCAACAUUUUAUUUUUUAUUUAUUUCUUUCUAUGAGAUUUUUUUUAAGGUUUUGAAAAUAACAAAGGUUAACUUGGAUUUUUUUUCUUGACGUUCCUUGAAUCUAGUUUUUUUUUAAUGAAUUUUAUUUUUUAAUUAAAUUAAAGUAAUUGCAUUACAGUAAGCAUGAGAUUCUUCAUUCAUGGUUUUUUUGUUUUUAUUUUAUUUUCUAGUUAUUAUUUUAACAGCAUGUGCGGUUUUUUUAAAUACAAAAACCUUAAUUUUUUAUUAUUUCUUUUAAAAUAUUAAUAUCACAUGAAUAUUUUUUAUAUAUUAUUAAUAAAUUAACUCGGCCCACAGCAUUAAGCGUGCCAUUUAUCUAGUUUUAGCGCACUUGGUUUCCUUCACAUCCUUUAAGCACAUGCAUGAUUAAUCUCCACUUCAGAUGAAUAACCAGCUGGACUAGGCAGAUUAGCUUCACGACGGCUUAUAUGGCUUCUGCUUCUCCAUUGCUUCACAAGAAGGAUGAGGAAGAGGAAGAGGGGUGGUAAUAGAUUUAUUAGUAUAUUAUUGGUAUUGUGAUUGUUACUGUGCUUAUAAUUUGAAAAUAUAGAUUUUUAAAAAGAUUAUAAAUUAUAGUUUUUUUAUAAUUAAUAUUAAAUUUAUGGUGUGUAUUAAUUAUUCAAACAUUUUUAAAAUUAUAGUUGGGGCAAAAUAUAAUUUAACUGCAACAAAUCCUUUACCUUCUCAAUUAUAAUUAUGCUUAGAAGAAGUGAUUUAGCAAUGAACCUGCGAGUGUGAUAUCAACAACUAAUCUAUUAUGAGACAAGGAAACAGCUUAAGGCAGCAAACCCUAGUUCAUCAGAAGGCACUCAUUACUCAGUAUGUUAUUGCCCUAAGCUCUUUAACCAGAGUAGCAACUCACCUUAUUAUUAUUAUUAUAUUCUUUUUCGGUAGUUUGCAAGGGGGGAACUGCACCACAGAAAGAUACUAGGAAUGUUAGCUUCGGGAAUUAGUGGAUUUACAUUUCACAAAAUCUACUUGUUUCCACAGGAGACUCCAAAGUAAGUGUUGCAAAUAAAAUUACUGUACAAUUCGUCAGGAGACAAGGAGGUUUACAGAUAAUACACCUCAAAGCUCAACCCCCCUGGCUCCCACGUUUAUUCUUUUAGGAUGAAGAAAGCAUUGCCUCUUUGGAAACCUCAAAGCCAAGGCUUAACACCUAAUUUGAAUCUUGCACAUUCACACGAGCAAUCUCGCCUCUAGGUUGUCAGUGAGAACUGUUACGGUCAUGAACUGCGUAUGCAUUUCAUUGGAGAGCUGUUACAGUCUUGAACGGCGUAUGCAUUUCAUUGGAUUAAAUGGAGCAUCCCUUCGGGUGGGAUUAAAUGGGUGUCUGCUCAAGGAAGCUAUUGA
This 6360-nucleotide long non-coding RNA is filed under the name Populus trichocarpa (black cottonwood). RNAcentral's name for it is "long non-coding RNA (PTRI_LNC003216)". The record is from RNAcentral. Lineage: Eukaryota; Viridiplantae; Streptophyta; Magnoliopsida; Malpighiales; Salicaceae.